Molecule: long non-coding RNA, 339 nt
Filed under: Cyanistes caeruleus (blue tit)
Lineage: Eukaryota; Metazoa; Chordata; Aves; Passeriformes; Paridae
Description: lncRNA (ENSCCEG00000010474.1)
Source: RNAcentral
UUCAUGUUCAUGGACACCCAGACCAGCUGAGACUCUGUCAAGGAACUUGAAAAUUAUACUGGAAGCAGUCAUCCAAAUCCUUUCAUGUAAAUUAGGGACCUGUGCAUAUGAUAUCUGUGACAAUCAGGCUAUGCUUGUCAGGUUUAUUUUGAUUUGAGGGACUUUUUACCUUCGGAAGACUGCCUGCCUUUGCCAUUCAGGUGGCAAUCAGAUCCAGAUGUAACUGUUCCAGGAAACUGUGCUGUCUUUUGUUUAACAAGACCAAUGAAUUGUGUGAAAUCAAUGUGAUCGUGUUGUGGCAGCGAGGGAGAGGCCCAACUGCAUAAAGUGUGAGUAACU